AGAGUUUGAUCCUGGCUCAGAACGAACGCUGGCGGCGCGCCUAAUACAUGCAAGUCGAACGAGAAUGUGUAGCAAUACACAUGUACAGUGGCGAACGGGUGAGGAAUACAUGGGUAACCUACCCUCGAGUGGGGAAUAACUAGCCGAAAGGUUAGCUAAUACCGCGUACGCUUCCCGGACUGCGGUUCGGGAAGGAAAGCGAUACCGUGGGUAUCGCGCUCUUGGAUGGGCUCAUGCCCUAUCAGCUUGUUGGUGAGGUAACGGCUCACCAAGGCUUCGACGGGUAGCUGAUCUGAGAGGAUGAUCAGCCACACUGGCACUGCGACACGGGCCAGACUCCUACGGGAGGCAGCAGUAAGGAAUAUUGCGCAAUGGGCGAAAGCCUGACGCAGCGACGCCGCGUGGGGGAUGAAGGUCUUCGGAUUGUAAACCCCUUUCGGGAGGGAAGAUGGGAUGGGGUAACCCAUUCGGACGGUACCUCCAGAAGCAGCCACGGCUAACUUCGUGCCAGCAGCCGCGGUAAUAC
This 526-nucleotide ribosomal RNA is filed under the name uncultured bacterium. RNAcentral's name for it is "bacterial SSU rRNA". It matches the Rfam family "Bacterial small subunit ribosomal RNA", at positions 8 to 526 of the family's 1533-position model. The record is from RNAcentral.